Molecule: non-coding RNA, 52 nt
Filed under: unclassified sequences
Source: RNAcentral
UGACACCAUAAGGUUGCCUUCACGUGGCGGUGUUGAUUUCGACUAAAACCUU